UUUAAUAUAGCAUAAGUAUAAUGCGAAGAGUUUAAGCCUCUUAGAUUUUAUUAAA
RNAcentral lists this transfer RNA (55 nucleotides) under Blomia tropicalis. Its description in RNAcentral is "tRNA-Leu". The record is from RNAcentral. Lineage: Eukaryota; Metazoa; Arthropoda; Arachnida; Sarcoptiformes; Echimyopodidae.